This 906-nucleotide ribosomal RNA is filed under the name uncultured bacterium. RNAcentral's name for it is "bacterial SSU rRNA". It matches the Rfam family "Bacterial small subunit ribosomal RNA", at positions 335 to 1235 of the family's 1533-position model. The record is from RNAcentral.
ACUCCUACGGGAGGCAGCAGUGGGGAAUUUUGGACAAUGGGCGCAAGCCUGAUCCAGUAAUGCCGCGUGAGUGAAGAAGGCCUUCGGGUUUAAAGCUCUUUCAGUUGAAAAGAAAAAGUCGUGACUAAUAAUCAUGGCUCAUGACGGUAUCAACAGAAGAAGCACCGGCUAACUACGUGCCAGCAGCCGCGGUAAUACGUAGGGUGCAAGCGUUAAUCGGAAUUACUGGGCGUAAAGGGUGCGCAGGCGGUUCUGUAAGUCAGACGUGAAAUCCCCGGGCUUAACCUGGGAACUGCGUUUGAAACUGCAGAGCUAGAGUGCGGCAGAGGGAGGUGGAAUUCCAUGUGUAGCAGUGAAAUGCGUAGAGAUAUGGAAGAACAUCGAUGGCGAAGGCAACCUCCUGAGCUAGCACUGACGCUCAUGCACGAAAGCGUGGGGAGCAAACAGGAUUAGAUACCCUGGUAGUCCACGCCCUGAACUAUGUCAACUAGUUGUCGGGUCUUAAUAGACUUGGUAACGUAGCUAACGCGUGAAGUUGACCGCCUGGGGAGUACGGUCGCAAGAUUAAAACUCAAAGGAAUUGACGGGGACCCGCACAAGCGGUGGAUUAUGUGGAUUAAUUCGAUGCAACGCGAAAAACCUUACCUAUCCUUGACAUGUCAGAAAAUUUUCAGAGAUGAAUUUGUGCCCGAAAGGGAAUCUGAACACAGGUGCUGCAUGGCUGUCGUCAGCUCGUGUCGUGAGAUGUUGGGUUGAGUCCCGCAACGAGCGCAACCCUUGUCAUUAAUUGCCAUCAUUAAGUUGGGCACUUUAAUGAGACUGCCGGUGAUAAACCGGAGGAAGGUGGGGAUGACGUCAAGUCCUCAUGGCCCUUAUGGGUAGGGCUUCACACGUAAUACAAUGGCG